AAGUCGUAACAAGGUUUCCGUAGGUGAACCUGCGGAAGGAUCAUUAAAGAUUCGGGCUUCGGCCCCCUAAUCCUCAGCUGUGCGCUCCGGCUGCACGCUGUCGAACACUUCACACCUGUGCACCUUUUCGGUUGCGGCGUUCGCGUCGCUUCCGCUUUACAUAUAACAACUCAGUCUAGAAUGUAUAAAACUAUAAAUGAAACAACUUUCAACAACGGAUCUCUUGGCUCUC
This 232-nucleotide unclassified non-coding RNA is filed under the name air metagenome. RNAcentral's name for it is "partial contains small subunit ribosomal RNA, internal transcribed spacer 1, and 5.8S ribosomal RNA". The stretch from base 1 to 46 matches the Rfam family "Eukaryotic small subunit ribosomal RNA", at positions 1786 to 1831 of the family's 1831-position model. The record is from RNAcentral.